GACGAACGCUGGACGGCGUGCUUAACACAUGCAAGUCGAGCGGUAAGGCCCUUUCGGGGGUACACGAGCGGCGAACGGGUGAGUAACACGUGGGUGACCUGCCCUCAGCUCUGGGAUAAGCCUGGGAAACUGGGUCUAAUACUGGAUAUGACUCCACGGUGCAUGUCGUGGGGUGGAAAGCCUUGUGCGGCUGAGGAUGGGCCCGCGGCCUAUCAGCUUGUUGGUGGGGNGAUGGCCUACCAAGGCGACGACGGGUAGCCGGCCUGAGAGGGCGACCGGCCACACUGGGACUGAGACACGGCCCAGACUCCUACGGGAGGCAGCAGUGGGGAAUCUUGCGCAAUGGGCGAAAGCCUGACGCAGCGACGCCGCGUGAGGGAUGACGGCCUGGUGUAAC
This 397-nucleotide ribosomal RNA is filed under the name uncultured bacterium. Its description in RNAcentral is "bacterial SSU rRNA". It matches the Rfam family "Bacterial small subunit ribosomal RNA", at positions 28 to 429 of the family's 1533-position model. The record is from RNAcentral.